Molecule: long non-coding RNA, 1226 nt
Organism: Solanum dulcamara
Lineage: Eukaryota; Viridiplantae; Streptophyta; Magnoliopsida; Solanales; Solanaceae
Exons: 3
Source: RefSeq, a predicted model, not a curated record
CAUAGUUAGUUAGUACUCUUCAUGUAUUUAUAUCAUUGUAAUCUUUGAGCAAUAAAAAAUAAAUUCUUUCCAUACCUUAUCGACAACAUGGGAUCAGAGCCUUGUCGGAUUUGAAAAGGUGGUAUGUCGAACUUCACGGCUGGUUAUUGUCGGAAUUAGCCACCGCCUUAUUUUUUAUUCUUGUGACUUAAAAUAUAAUUUUCACCAUCCUUCCAGGGAGAAUCAUCUCCCUUUGAUCCGUCAUUACCCAAAAAUCUGGUGGCCGGAGGAGACGCAAGUGGGUUUCUAGUGCCGGCUUCACCACCAGAGACUUUUGAGUUAGAGCCACAUGUGGAGGCGCGAGUGUGGACCAAUCGUGAUUUGGAUUUUUGAUUUGGCAUCGCCUUGUAAUUUCCGACUGACUUAUGGCAGUCUUCUAAUCAUUGGACCAAGUUUUGAAGAAUAAGCAUCAACAAUCAGAACUCAGUGAAGGAAUCUACUUCAGUUAAUGUUUUACGGAGUCAGAUAAGACAUGUCUUAUCACGUCUUCAAAUAAAUGGGUGAUUGAUUCAAGUGCAACAAAUCACAUGACAGGGCUGGAACGUGGGUCAAAAGAGGUGUGGGUGCUGCUGGUUCGAUUCUCGGUGAAUCUGUAUUCAGUCCUUUUUACUUUGAACAGUUGAGUACAAAAAAUUUCAUCUUUCGUUCUAAGAAACAUUCAUACAGAUUUCGAAUUAAUCGUUGCAAACUGAUUUCGUUUUCAAAAUUUUUCCGAUAAAUUUUGAAAACAAAGAGUCAGACUCUUAUUUUCAAGUGUACAUAAUGUGAAAUUGAAGCAACUUAACCACGCUCUGAUAUCAAUGUAAUACUCAUGUAGGUACAAUAUAAAAUUUGUGUACCUUAUUGUUGCAGUGAAUUGAAAUCACAAACCGACAAGUGUUGCUCCAAGUGUCUUCGUUUUAAUCAAUAGAAAAUAAAGACUUAGUUUAUCACAAACUAGAUGCCUUUUUGGUGUUAAUGUUUAGUGAAGAAAGAUAGUUCCUCUUUUUGAUUUUUCUGUUUAGUUUUUCGUCACUCUCAUUUCUGAGGAAGAAGCCAUCCCUUCUUAAAGGGUGUUCUUUAAUUAAUCAGUUAAAAAGUUAAUUGUUCCCCACAUAUUUUUUAAUCAAGAAAAAAAACUUUAUCUUCUUUUCCAAGAGUAAACAAAAACGGGUCGAUGAUCAAGAAGGAUGCGCUAAUAAAAUUGA